Non-coding RNA from Manis javanica (Malayan pangolin), 389 nucleotides. NCBI's taxonomy places the organism in Eukaryota, Metazoa, Chordata, Mammalia, Pholidota, Manidae. The record is from RefSeq and is a predicted model, not a curated record.
GUGGAACAGGAAUUCAGGAGUGAUUUGGCUGCAUUGGCUCCGGCUUGGAGUUUCUUGUGAUGUGAAGUUGCAAUCGAGAUGCCAUCCAGGUACAGUAUCUCUUCUUUGAAGAUGCCUUCACUGACCCCUUGGUUUAAAUGAAGUGCCUGGGAGAAGAACCUCAUGUUAUCUACUUUAGUAGACUGAGAAAUGGCCCCUGAAGGUAUCAGGCCCUACCUAAUCCCUGGAUACUGGAGAUGUUACCUUCUUUGGGAAAGAUGAUGCACUUGCAGGAGAGAAGCAGAAGGAGACUUGACACAUGCACAGCGGAGAAGGCAGUGUGAAGAUGAAGCAGGGGGAUUUGAAGAUACUUGCCUUGAAGACUUGGCCACCAGUCAAGGAACGCCAGC